GGAGCCAUUUUGUAAGGACCGUCACCGGAGAUAAGAAGCAGACAAAGUGCGCAGUUGGGUGCCAGACUGAUCCCCUUGUCAUGAACGGAUGCCGGAACCUACCAGAAGUAGCAAAGGUUUUACGUACUAGCCAAGCUGCUGGGAGAGCGCAAUGGUUCUCUUUUGAUAAGAUCUCACAAGUAACCUCCUCCGUUGUUGCCAGAGUCUCCCUCGACUCCUGUGAAAAGGACACGCCAUCAUGAGGCGUCUGAUAGUGACUCGAGUUACUUCUCUUUUGACACAUACGGCUUAAUCAACAACGACAGGUGAAGAAGCCGGAUGUGGAGGUCCUGGGCUGGCGUGGUUACACGUGGUCUGCAGUUGUG
RNAcentral lists this long non-coding RNA (365 nucleotides) under Salmo salar (Atlantic salmon). RNAcentral's name for it is "lncRNA (ENSSSAG00000119744.1, ENSSSAG00020084144.1)". The record is from RNAcentral. Lineage: Eukaryota; Metazoa; Chordata; Actinopteri; Salmoniformes; Salmonidae.